RNAcentral lists this ribosomal RNA (253 nucleotides) under uncultured bacterium. Its description in RNAcentral is "partial 16S ribosomal RNA". It matches the Rfam family "Bacterial small subunit ribosomal RNA", at positions 524 to 776 of the family's 1533-position model. The record is from RNAcentral.
UACGUAGGGCGCAAGCGUUGUCCGGAAUUAUUGGGCGUAAAGAGCUCGUAGGCGGCCAGUUGCGUCUGCUGUGAAAUCCCGGGGCUCAACCCCGGGCGUGCAGUGGAUACGGGCUGGCUAGAGGCAGGCAGGGGAGAACGGAAUUCCCGGUGUAGCGGUGAAAUGCGCAGAUAUCGGGAGGAACACCGGUGGCGAAGGCGGUUCUCUGGGCCUGUACUGACGCUGAGGCGCGAAAGCUGGGGGAGCGAACGGG